GCCUGGGUGGCUUUGUUGGUUGAGCAUCUGACUUCGGUUCAGGUCAUGAUCUCACGGCUGGUGGGUUCAAGCCCCAUAUCGGGCU
RNAcentral lists this transfer RNA (85 nucleotides) under Felis catus (domestic cat). It matches the Rfam family "tRNA". From Rfam's summary of the family: Transfer RNA (tRNA) molecules are approximately 80 nucleotides in length. Their secondary structure includes four short double-helical elements and three loops (D, anti-codon, and T loops). The record is from Rfam by way of RNAcentral. Lineage: Eukaryota; Metazoa; Chordata; Mammalia; Carnivora; Felidae.